RNAcentral lists this long non-coding RNA (339 nucleotides) under Elaeis guineensis (African oil palm). Its description in RNAcentral is "long non-coding RNA (EGUI_LNC065542)". The record is from RNAcentral. Lineage: Eukaryota; Viridiplantae; Streptophyta; Magnoliopsida; Arecales; Arecaceae.
GAGCACUCCAUUCUUGUUGAGACAGAGAACUGACUUGAGCGUCGGAGGGUCUUGCUGGAGCACCUCCAACUCUGGUUUAGACUUCCUUUGCAAGUCCCGACGGUGACCGUGACUCCCUUGACUCCAGCUUCUCCGAUGCUGGCAGAUUUUUGCACCAAUAGGAUUGGCGCUAGAGGAAAGGGCCUGCUGUCUUCGCAGUACCCUUAUUCUUAAAGGAGCACUCAAUGGGACCGCCUUCGGUCAUCUUCUCCGACAUCCUCUUCUCCUUCCUCUAUUGGAUCUUCGCCCGAUGCCUCCCCGCAAAGCAUCCACCCGAUGAUCCAUGGCCUCCGUGACCAG